Long non-coding RNA from Chiroxiphia lanceolata (lance-tailed manakin), 4281 nucleotides. RefSeq lists it as uncharacterized. The transcript has 5 exons. The record is from RefSeq and is a predicted model, not a curated record. NCBI's taxonomy places the organism in Eukaryota, Metazoa, Chordata, Aves, Passeriformes, Pipridae.
CGGCCGCCGCCACCCCGCCCGCCCGCAAGUGCCGGUCCCCGGUCUCCCGGGAGCCGCCAACCUUUAACCAUUCUGUGAUUCUGUGAGCAAAAUCUGCUGCCCUGCCCUGCCCUGCCCUGCCUUUCUCCUCCCGCGGCUCCGGUGGGGAAGGCGGUUGAGAGGGCGAGAAGGGCUGGGGAGGCGGGGAAGGAGAGAAAAUGGCCGCCAGUGGUGGGGAGGGAGGGCGGCCCCUCAGCGCACCUGAGGGAGGGGGGCCGCGCGUGGAGGAGCGUGUGGGGCGAAAGACCAGUGGGCGGGAAGUAUAAGGAGCUUCACUCAGCAGAGGGAGGACAAGGUGCAGCUCUUAUCAGUGGAACUCACAAGGGCUGGAUCGUGCCUGGAGAGCGUGACCCUCCCAGAGCAGGAGAUAUCACUCAGGCCCAGGGCAGGCAGAGUCCCCAGCACACCCAGAGCUGCAGAUCAAGGUUUCCAUCAAUAGAGAAAAGGAUGGUGUAGAGAGCCCAGCCUAUCACGAUUCAGUGCAGCAGAGAGACAGGGUCAGUUAUUAAACUGUCGUCAGCCUGCAGGGUUUUCAGCAUUUGAGGGACCUUCCUGGUUCUACCAUUUCUUGAAAACCCAGUUCACAGAUGAGAAGUUUCAAGUACAGCUUGGCAAAUCCAGAGGGUGCUGGGGGAAGCAGCUGAUACAAUUCACAUGUUCACUCAUCUGCUGCAUAUGGAAUGUAAGGAAGAGGAGUCCAACAAAAGCCUGGAGAAUGGGAAGUGGCACCAUAAAACUGAUGGAUUUUGCCUACAGAUAUGUGGGUUGCCUGUGGAAGUGCAAGAACCAAGAGAUAUGGGGUCCCAAAGUCACAGAGAAUCCCAGUGCUCACUAUAAGAAAUAACUGUAUUUGUCACUCCACAAACAUGGUAAGAAAGAAUGCAAAUGAAGGCAGUAAUGGGGUUAUAGUUACAAGGUGAUAAAUUGCAUAGAAAAAACCACAGAACUACUUAAAACAACCAAAUCUUUUAAUUAGAAAGCAACAAACAUGCAAACAGCAGGUAUAGAAAUUUAUUUGAACCAACGUUUUUACUAUAAUGAAAGUUACUUUAAAACAUUGAUCCAAGCUCCCACAUUUGCAGGUUAAGGAAAAUAUUGCACUUUGCAUCUUCUAGCACCCCUCAUACAUGGCAAAACGUUUGAAAAACAUUUUUGCUUAUUUUAACUUGCACACUCUCCCCAAGUCAUGCACACAGUCAUUCAAAAAACAAAAGGUUAGGUUAUCCAAAAGCAAUACCUUAGAAUUGCACUAAAGCUCUGUAAGGAAAAAUAUAAUUAAUGUCUUAUACAAAUUCCACUGAUGUCUCGGUGCUCGCACACAACUGCCAGUUACUCUUCGUCUUCAUUUUCGUUCUCCUGACCAGAUCCUUCUGAUCUGUCACCUUCCAAUCGAUCUGUAAAACACAGAGACUUAGUAAAGAGAACUUGCAAAAUUGUCUUUUUCUGGUAACUAUAAAAUACUGCCUCCCUGGGCUGUUACAGAAUGGGCAGUGGCUGUGGGUUAUACGGUAGAAGAAAGUCUGUGUGGACUGACAAGCAGAGAGUGGGUAGGAAUGAUGCCACAAGAAAGGAGAAGAGGAGAAAAGCCCUAAAGGAUUUCCAGGCAUAAAAGGGAAAUUUGUGUACAGAAGGAAAAAGCUUGUAGCUGCUGACUGGCUGUCAGCACAGGCAAGAUGAAUGCAAGCGAAACAUUAAAAUGAGAUGGUGAGUACAAGGGACUGAAGUGCUGUUCUGGGGAACUGACACUAGAAUAGCUGCAGUUAGAAAUCUGAAUACUCCAGAAACUGGGGGAUCACUGUCUGUCACUGAAUGCAUCAGAAAAAGUACCUUUGGAUGUGCAUGUUUAGAAAAGGGCAAAUACAGAAACGUGCGAGGCAACACGACUGGAUCAACAUCAGUCCCUCAAACAACAUCCACUGUCAGGUUAAGAAACACUCCACUCAGCCAUAACACAGAGUUCUGCUGAAAUUGUUGUAGAAUCAAGUGUUGGGCAGUUCUUUUGGUGUUUUAUUCCAAAGAGACUGCCCAUAUUCAAUAUCUGCAGUCACCUUCACCUACAGGUCUGUCAGCAGCUCUGUCAGGAUGGAUAGCGUGGUGAAUAUCUAAAAAUACAUUUUGAUCUUUGUUUUGAGGUAAAAACAGCUACAAGAAUGUUGCAAGCCUCACACCAAGAAGCAAUACCUAAGCACUUCUAUUAAGAGAACCGUGAACAACCCUUGAAUCUUUUCACCAGCCCCAAGCAUAGCCACAGACAGCUGAAGGUCUUGAUGAUUCUCCAGUCCAUCUGCUAUUUCACAGACCAGUGUCAUGGGAGAGCUGUUCAGGAGUCUCUCACCUGCUCUUAUGUGAUUCAACGAAGCCAACAUUCGUAGCAUGAAAGAAGCUGGAACAGUAAUAGUGUUUCUGGUCUCUUCCAGCAUUAGUUCAUUACGGGUUAUAACCUGGAGGCAGGGAAGGACAAAAAAACAGCACCAGAAAUAAACACAAAAUUGUACUGCAUCAGUAUGGGUUUGUAGAUACAAAGCUCCUAUGCAAAAGCCAAAAUUACAAUAAGGGACCAAUAUUUUAAUAAUUACUAUUGAAUACAGUUACUUUAACUGUAUAUGGUGAGAAAAGCCAGACAGUGGACUCUGCCUACAGUGUCUGUCUGUCUAAAGAACAUUCUAGUAAGAUCAUCAUUCAUUGUCCACACGCACAGUAGAUAUCUGAGAAAAACUUCUGAAAUGAGUUCUUGCAUGAAGUAAAGCAGAGUGAUGAGAGAAAGUGCUGUUCCAGAUGGCAACUGUUGGAGAGAACAAGUUCCAGCACCAGCUCUGGCCAAGAAUGUGGGAAGGAAAAAGAGCUGAGGUUACCCUAAACUCCUACCUUCAUGCUGCUUGAAACUUUUGGAGAAAAUCCAAGGAACACAAGCAAUUUUCUAUCCCAGUUCUGGAACAUUCUUCAGCUCCAUAAUUCUUUCUAAACAGAUCUACAGCUUGCCUCUAAAUUACUUGAAAGAGCCAGUUCCUGCUGUCUUAGUUUAAAGGGAAAAAAAAUCCACUAAUGAAUACUUAUAGCUCUCUUGCCUCAUUCCUUCCUCAUGGUACUUCCUUACCAUCCUUCUUUUUUCCCCAUUGAGUUCUAAUCCCACACUGUUGCUGGUCUCUCAGCUUUUUGACCAUGUUCUUUCAUUUAUCACUAAGCACAAGAGUUUCUUUAGGUGGAGACAAGUUCUGCCUGUUAUUCAGUCCUUCCUCCCAGAUCAGCUGCUGUAAGACAGGAAAAUAAUGCAUUUCUUUUUCUCCUUGAGGCUCCUUCUCCAAGCCUGUUCCUCUUGUAAGGAACAAGCUCUUGCAAAUGUUUGCAGUGCCCUUCUCCCAGCCAAACCAAAUCACCUCUUCCCUGUCAUUCUCAGCUGUUCACCAGGCACUUUGCACAGCUGAUCACUCCCUAACAGAAGCAAGCUGAGAAGGCAGCAGGAAGCCAUUUUUUCCUCUUUCACCCCCUAUUUCUCCAGUGCAUCAUCAGUAACACCCCUGACAACCUCCUUCUGAUGCUUUUUCUCUAUUCAGAGAAAAUAUUCUCUAUUCUCUGCUGUCUUUUCCUAUUCACUGAGGUCACGGCCUCUCUCAGUUUCCCCAAACACAACACCUUCUACCUAGGUCUUCCCUUCCAUGGAAAAUUCAGUUUAGGUAUGUUCCACAUUUACUCUAGCUAAUCUUAACAUGCUGAAAACUAUUUUACUGCCACAAACAUCUCCUGUACUCUACAUAAGUUUUUCAAUACAGGGAUUAAAUUAAACUACAAAAAACAUGUCAAAUUACAAACCACACUGCAGUCGACUUUUCUGAAAGUUCUACAAUUUUUAGUAAAGAAAAAAAUAAUCAAAUCUUUAAAUGUUUCGUUAUUAUUAAAAAUCAAAUGACAGAAAUGACAGUACAUUAACUCCUUUUAGCAGACAUUUAUGUUUAGCAAUAUUUCUAAGCCCCAAAGGCUCCAAAGCACAUCACAUACUAAAGCUGUCACACAACAUUACAAAGAAGUGUCGCUUCACUCAGUGUUACUGCUGCUGCUAAAAGAAUGGGAAAGGUUCAAAACCCAUAAGUGGAUGGUUUGGGGUUUUUUUCAGGGAAUGUAGAAUUGUGACUAAGGGUUGUGGGUUUCUGUUUAAAAUAUGUAUAGCACUAAUAACAAUAUAUAUAUCAUCUAUAACAAUUAGAACCCCCCCCUCUACUAUAUCCCUGCUGCCCAAGAGAUUUCACA